This 878-nucleotide unclassified non-coding RNA is filed under the name Eremanthus mollis. RNAcentral describes it as "partial external transcribed spacer". The record is from RNAcentral. Lineage: Eukaryota; Viridiplantae; Streptophyta; Magnoliopsida; Asterales; Asteraceae.
GGCGGUUGUGGGAUUGUUCGAUGGCCUUGGAAUCACUACGGUGGGUUUAGUCGAUGACGGGUUGAGGUGUUCUUCCCCCCCUGGACACCGAGAGGACAACACGCGAACCCGUUAUCGAAGCAGAGGUCCCGAUCGACGUGUUGUCCCGAUGUGCCGAUUGACAGUUCAGAUUUUGUAGGCAACGAUCGGCCGACGCGAUUGAUGGUAUUCGUUUUGUCGGAAGUGAUGGACCGACCCGAUUGAUGGUUUCGAUUUUGUGGGAAAUGAUAGACCGAAUCGAUUGACGGUUUUGAUUUUGUGGGGAACGAUGGACCGGCCUGAUUGAUGGUUUUGAUUUCGUGGGAAAUUAUGUAUCGACCUGAUUGAUGCUUUUGAUUUUCGCAUCGUGCGGUGCUUUCCUUGGAACCAACAUCGGCUAUAGGUUGCAUUCUUGGCUUUCGUGCUAGGGAUGUGGCUACUAGUUGGGUGGUUUUAGGGAUUGUUGGUCGUAAAGGUGCAUGAGUUGUGUUUGGUUUGUUACGUGUCGUUGGAUGUCUGCAUAUGCAGCAACGUCGACACGGGCAGACCUCUUCAUCUAUUGUGAAAGCGUGCUUUGCUUUUGCAUGUUGUGGGUUUCUAGCGUCGCGUUCCUGAAUUGUGGCAUUUUAUGGUUUGAACAGCAUGUCUUUAAUCAUGUCACACGUAUGUGUGCCACGUGAAAAGGCAUGAAGCUAAUCUCUUCGAUCCAUUUCGUCUUUGUCUUUGGCACUGAUGUUGUGGCCUGUUGAGGAAGCUGGUCUCAUGGAUGCGGUGCCUGACUCGGUGAUUUGGUUUUAUUAGCCAAUUUGGUUGCCACAAGUAGAUGUUUUUGCCUCUCCUUCAUAUGACCGCCCAUUGUG